UUUCCUCCUGAGUCAGGCAGAGGAGAGAAAGCAGGCAGAGAGAAAGCAGAAAAGAGAUCAUUUUGCAGAAAUGGACCUGGAUUCCUGUGAGGCAGAUGAAAGAAUGAAGCCAGCAAGAUCUCCAUAUUUAUCUUUUCAUGGGGGCAGAAGUGAAACAGCGGCUGUGGCACCAGAUCAGGGUCCAGUGUGCUUUGAAGAUGUCGCUGUUCGUUUGACGGACGAGG
Non-coding RNA from Podarcis muralis (Common wall lizard), 224 nucleotides. The record is from RefSeq and is a predicted model, not a curated record. Lineage: Eukaryota; Metazoa; Chordata; Lepidosauria; Squamata; Lacertidae.